CCACAGGAACCACCGGGGAGCAGAAAGCAGAGCCAACAAGCCUAGGACUGGAUACAUUGGAAACUAAAUUGGGCCUGAGGAGAGCCCUUUCAGGUUGAGGAGCGCAGCUCUCUCAUUCUGGUCCCCGGACACCAGCAUCAGCAGGAGCGUACGUCCUCAUCGACUCAUCAGAGUAUGGCAUCUCAAGGCUGCAGUCGGGCCAUCACCUGCUUACUCUGCCUGGGAGUCAAGGAGGACCAGGAAGAGCAGCAGGAUAUGAACGCACAGAUGAUCUUUCAGGCUGGAGAGGGGAGAGAGAAGAAAGGUGUACGGGGCCAACCUGGAGUGGGAGGAGUGGGAGCAGACAGUGAAGGAGAAGAAUUAAAAGGAGAAAAAGGAGGCCCCUUUGGUCCUGAUGCUCCAGGUCCUGUGGGUGAUGGGAAGAAGAAUGGUGGCACCAGCGGAAGUGGCGUGGAGCAAGAGCAAAUGGAGCUGGUUGCUGAGGGUACGGAGAGCCAGAAAAGCCUAAAGCCUCCGGAGAGGUCAAUGGCCCGCCACCAACUUCGGUUCACCCAGCGGCAGCUGGAGCAAUGGGAGACCAUUCUCCAGCACAGUUGAGCCAGCAAGGAAGGAUCUCGCAAGAUGGAUGGGUGUAAGUGAGUCCUGAAUGUAGGACUAAUUUAAGAUUAGGAGCAUUGCACACAGAAAAAAUGGGAGGAGGACCAGAAAUGCACCAUCUGGGCCCUAGAACAUCUGUCUCUGAAGAUUUCAGUGUCACCCUAGUCCCGGAGCAAGAUGGGAAUGGCUUCUUCUUGUGCCACCAACAUCUCAACUGCCUAUGCUGACCACAGCCACCGUUACUUCUCAGCCAUUCUUUUAGCAAUAAAGAGGCGGAUUCUCAAUAUGUUUGUUCCAUUGCCUUUGCGAUCUCUAAAAUAUUGUUGUAAAUACCUUAGUGAUUCUAGUAUUAUAGAA
Molecule: RNA transcript, 954 nt
Organism: Microtus oregoni (creeping vole)
Lineage: Eukaryota; Metazoa; Chordata; Mammalia; Rodentia; Cricetidae
Gene name: homeobox protein Rhox5-like
Exons: 4
Source: RefSeq, a predicted model, not a curated record